CGUGCAGGCGGAGUGUCAGGUGUUGUGUGAAAGCCCCGGGCUCAACUCGGGAAUGGCACAGCAAACCGGCACUCUUGAGGCGGGUAGAGGUGACUGGAACGACUGGUGGAGCGGUGAAAUGCGUAGAUAUCAGUUGGAACGCCAGAGGCGAAAGCGAGUCGCUGGACCCGUCCUGACGCUGAGACGCGAAAGCGUGGGUAGCGAACA
This 207-nucleotide ribosomal RNA is filed under the name uncultured bacterium. Its description in RNAcentral is "partial 16S ribosomal RNA". It matches the Rfam family "Bacterial small subunit ribosomal RNA", at positions 568 to 774 of the family's 1533-position model. The record is from RNAcentral.